UGGGGAAUAUUGGGCAAUGGGCGCAAGCCUGACCCAGCAACGCCGCGUGAGGGAAGAAGGUCUUCGGAUUGUAAACCUCUGUCCUUGGGGACGAAAAAAAUGACGGUACCCAAGGAGGAAGCUCCGGCUAACUACGUGCCAGCAGCCGCGGUAAUACGUAGGGAGCGAGCGUUGUCCGGAAUUACUGGGCGUAAAGGGUGCGUAGGCGGCUAGGCAAGUCAGAUGUGAAAUCCCCGGGCUUAACUCGGGUGGUGCAUUUGAAACUGCUUGGCUUGAGUGCAGGAGAGGAAAGCGGAAUUCCUAGUGUAGCGGUGAAAUGCGUAGAUAUUAGGAGGAACACCAGUGGCGAAGGCGGCUUUCUGGACUGUAACUGACGCUGAGGCACGAAAGCGUGGGGAGCAAACAG
RNAcentral lists this ribosomal RNA (406 nucleotides) under uncultured bacterium. RNAcentral describes it as "bacterial SSU rRNA". It matches the Rfam family "Bacterial small subunit ribosomal RNA", at positions 355 to 775 of the family's 1533-position model. The record is from RNAcentral.